GCAUAUCAAUAAGCUGAGGAAAAAGGAAACUAACAAGGAUUCCCCUAGUAACUGCGAGUGAAGCGGGAAAAGCUCAAAUUUAAAAUCUGGCGGUCUUCUGGCCGUCCGAGUUGUAGUCUGGAGAAGCGUUUUCCGCGUUGGACCGUGUACAAGUUUCCUGGAACGGAGCGUCAUAGAGGGUGAGAAUCCCGUCUUUGACACGGACCCCAAUGCUUUGUGAUGCGCUCUCAAAGAGUCGAGUUGUUUGGGAAUGCAGCUCAAAAUGGGUGGUGAAUUCCAUCUAAAGCUAAAUAUUGGCGAGAGACCGAUAGCGAACAAGUACCGUGAGGGAAAGAUGAAAAGCACUUUGGAAAGAGAGUUAAACAGUACGUGAAAUUGUUGAAAGGGAAACGCUUGAAGUCAGUCGCGUCGGCCGGGACUCAGCCUUGCAUCCGCUUGGUGUACUUUCCGGUCGACGGGCCAGCAUCAGUUUUGACCGCGAGAUAAAGGCGGAGGGAAUGUGGCUCUCUCGGGAGUGUUAUAGCCCUUCGUCAGAUGUCGCGGUUGGGACUGAGGAACUCAGCACGCCUUUAUGGCCGGGGCUCGCCCACGUACGUGCUUAGGAUGCUGGCGUAAUGGCUUUAAACGACCCGUCUUGAAACACGGACCAAGGAGUCUAACAUGCCUGCGAGUGUUCGGGUGGAAAACCCGUGCGCGCAAUGAAAGUGAAAGUUGGGAUCCCUGUCGUGGGGUGCACCGACGCCCGGCCCAGACCUUUUGUGACGGAGCUGCGGUAGAGCAUGUAUGUUGGGACCCGAAAGAUGGUGAACUAUGCCUGAAUAGGGUGAAGCCAGAGGAAACUCUGGUGGAGGCUCGUAGCGAUUCUGACGUGCAAAUCGAUCGUCAAAUUUGGGUAUAGGGGCGAAAGACUAAUCGAAACCAUCUGAGUAGCUGGUUCCUGCCCGAAGU
RNAcentral lists this ribosomal RNA (948 nucleotides) under Stereum gausapatum. RNAcentral describes it as "LSU rRNA". It matches the Rfam family "Eukaryotic large subunit ribosomal RNA", at positions 38 to 967 of the family's 3401-position model. The record is from RNAcentral. Lineage: Eukaryota; Fungi; Basidiomycota; Agaricomycetes; Russulales; Stereaceae.